RNAcentral lists this long non-coding RNA (1344 nucleotides) under Urocitellus parryii (Arctic ground squirrel). RNAcentral's name for it is "lncRNA (ENSUPAG00010022963.1)". Lineage: Eukaryota; Metazoa; Chordata; Mammalia; Rodentia; Sciuridae. The record is from RNAcentral.
AUGCCACCCGUCUCCUGCCUCCGCUGGCCGAAAGGCGGGGUGUUCACAGCCACACUGGUGGUGGAGGCGGAGAGCAGUUCCAGAAUGGUUCCCAAGGUUUUCUCAGAGCCUUUUCCACUGGCCAGCGGGGAGCAGUCCUUGGACUGUGCUCAACUGGCAGAAGCCCACCAGAGAGUCAGAUUGGCCAGCCGGAGCCUCUGUCCAGGACACUCUGCACAGGGCUCAGCUCGUCCCACAGGUGGCGCAGAUCCAGCUCGGUGGUCUCACGCUGAGUCAUCUCCACCUCCACCGUCUCACCUGGGGGUGAUAGAAACUGCAGAGGCCAAGAGCUCCUGGUCAUCUGCACUGGAUGGGCUGCUCAGGAGAGCACAAGUAUGGCCUCUGGCCAGUCAGCUUUGUCAGCAGACUAGGUCAUCUUCAGGGAAGGUGUGGAGACCUGGUUUGGGCAGCUUCAUCGCUAGGAUGGGCAAGGUGAAGACAAAACCAAAUACCUUUCGUCACUCGAUUGCGUGUGCGCUGCCUGUUGUGGCGUCACACAGGGCUGGGGGCAUGGUGCUGGCAGCCUGGCCAGGUGGAGCUCACGCUUCAUGGACUCCGUGGGACUGUAGUUGAGUAGAUACCAAAAAUAGAGUGACAGAUGUAUUUUAAUAGCAGAUGAGGCAGUUAGUUUUAGGGUGAAUUUUCCACUAUUGGUUUUACUUUAAGAUGUAAUAAGAAAAAAAAAUUUGGUUUUUAAAGUGUUUUUAAGCUGCAGUUGUGAACUGUAGUGGGCACAUGCUUCCUUUACUUCCAAAGAGGCAGGGCUGCCGGAGCUGGCUGGCAGCCCGGGCUCCUCCGCACUGGGUGAGGAUGUGCAUGGGCUUCCUGAACAGCAGCCAGCCUCCUCCAGCACAGCUACUGGGGCCACUGGGGCCUGACCUUCUCUUUGGGACCCGGUGGGAGUGAAUGUACUAGGGCCAGAAGGGGCUGGAGGUGGGUGGGAGCGAGUGGCUGUGGGCUCCAUCCAGAUGCUGGCGCCGGCGGGUAGGCGCUGGGUAUGCUUUGCUCAUGACCGCGUGUGUGCGUGGGGUCCCCUCCUUUGUGCUUUCUAAAUUUACACUAAAAGGAUUCAUCAAAUCGUUUGUUCAGAUGGCUCAGGAUUGUAUUUCUUUGCUUACCCUGUGCUCUUGGGUUCUAUAGUAUUUCUAUAAUUAUGUAACGAGAAUAGUGUUGCACUGUAAUCUAUCAUAUAGAGCUCUACGUAUGGACGAUUCUGAUCUGUUUUCUAAGAGAUGUAUCCUGUUUGCAAGGCACGAUAAAGUUGCAUCUUAUAGAUUAUAGGCAAUAAACCCAACUUAACACACA